GGCUUAUCAAUAAUUUUAAGUCAAUCUGCCCAAUGAUAAAUGGCUGCAGUAUACUAACUGUACAAAGGUAGCAUAAUCAAUUGUUUUUUAAUUAAAAACUAGAAUGAAAGAAUUAAUGAGAUAUAUACUGUCUCAUAUAUAUAAAAUAAAUUUAAAUUUUUAGUAAAAAUGCUUAAAUUAAUUUAUGGGACGAUAAGACCCUAUAGAAUUUUAUAUUUGGGAGGAUUAGUAAAUUUAAAAAACUUUAUUAAAUAAACUUUAAUUUUAGAAUGAUCUUAUAUUAUAAAUUAAAAAAAUAAAUUACCUUAGGGAUAACAGCGUAAUAUCUUUUUAAAGAUCAUAUUAAUAAAGAUGUUUGCGACCUCGAUGUUGAAUUAAGAUAAAUUUUAGAUGAAGAUAUCUAAUUAUUAAGUCUGUUCGACUUUUAAAAUCUUACAUGAUUUGAGUUCAAAUCGACGUAAGU
RNAcentral lists this ribosomal RNA (463 nucleotides) under Bombus remotus. RNAcentral describes it as "partial 16S ribosomal RNA". It matches the Rfam family "Bacterial large subunit ribosomal RNA", at positions 1885 to 2626 of the family's 2925-position model. Lineage: Eukaryota; Metazoa; Arthropoda; Insecta; Hymenoptera; Apidae. The record is from RNAcentral.